RNAcentral lists this ribosomal RNA (403 nucleotides) under Craugastor bransfordii (Bransford's litter frog). RNAcentral describes it as "partial 16S ribosomal RNA". It matches the Rfam family "Bacterial large subunit ribosomal RNA", at positions 1946 to 2531 of the family's 2925-position model. Lineage: Eukaryota; Metazoa; Chordata; Amphibia; Anura; Craugastoridae. The record is from RNAcentral.
CCGUGCAAAGGUAGCAUAAUCACUUGUCUCUUAAAUGGGGACCUGUAUGAACGGCAUCACGAAGAUUUUACUGUCUCCCCUUACCAAUCAGUGAAACUAAUCUCCCUGUGAAAAAGCAGGGGUAUAUAUACAAGACGAGAAGACCCUAUGGAGCUUAAAAUUAGUAACACUUGCUUAUUCUUAUAAACUAUGACCACCUAGCAUUAUGUUUACACAUUUUCGGUUGGGGUGACCCCGGAGAAAAAUUUAACCUCCAUGCUGUAUAUUAAAGAACCUCAAUUCUAAGAAUCAAUAAACUGACACAUUGACCCAAACACUUGAUCAACGAACUAAGUUACCCUAGGGAUAACAGCGCCAUCCACUUCAAGAGUACAUAUCAACAAGUGGGCUUACGACCUCGAUG